This 453-nucleotide ribosomal RNA is filed under the name Bungarus multicinctus (many-banded krait). Its description in RNAcentral is "partial 16S ribosomal RNA". It matches the Rfam family "Bacterial large subunit ribosomal RNA", at positions 1942 to 2610 of the family's 2925-position model. The record is from RNAcentral. Lineage: Eukaryota; Metazoa; Chordata; Lepidosauria; Squamata; Elapidae.
CUGACCGUGGCAAAGGUAGCGUAAUCCUUGGUUCCAUUAAUUGUAAACCGUUAUGAAGGCAUAAUGAGGGCCUAACUGUCUCUUAUAGUAAAUCAAUUAAACUGAUCUCCCAGUCCAAAAGCUGGAAUGUAAACAUAAAACCAAAAAACCCUGUGAAGCUUAAACUAAACUAUUAAAACCAAUAAUAGCUACUUUCGGUUGGGGCGACCUUGGAAACAAAAAAAACUUCCAAAAAAAUAACUUAUACUGUUCUAUACGGCCAACAAGCCUACUACAACCCAGCACAGCUAAUAAUUGAACCAAGUUACUCCAGGGAUAACAGCGCUUUCUUCUUCAAAAGCCCAUAUCAAAAAAAAGGUUUACAACCUCGAUGUUGGAUCAGGACAUCCUAAUGGUGCACCCGCUAUUAAGGGUUCGUUUGUUCAACGAUAAAAAGUCCUACGUGAUCUGAGU